UCAAGUGAAUAAGUGCAUCAGGUGGAUGCCUUGGCGAUGAUAGGCGACGAAGGACGUGUAAGCCUGCGAAAAGCGUGGGGGAGCUGGCAAUAAAGCUAUGAUCCCGCGAUGUCCGAAUGGGGAAACCCACCUCUUAGGAGGUAUCCUUAUCUGAAUACAUAGGAUAAGCGAAGCGAACCCGGAGAACUGAACCAUCUAAGUACCCGGAGGAAAAGAAAUCAACCGAGAUUCCGCAAGUAGUGGCGAGCGAACGCGGAGGAGCCUGUACGUGAUAACUGUCGAGAUAGAAGAACAAGCUGGGAAGCUUGACCAUAGUGGGUGAUAGUCCCGUAUUCGAAAUCUCAAUAGUGGUACUAAGCGUACGAAAAGUAGGGCGGGACACGUGAAAUCCUGUCUGAAUAUGGGGGGACCAUCCUCCAAGGCUAAAUACUCAUCAUCGACCGAUAGUGAACCAGUACCGUGAGGGAAAGGCGAAAAGAACCCCGGGAGGGGAGUGAAAUAGAACCUGAAACCUGAUGCAUACAAACAGUGGGAGCACCCUUGUGGUGUGACUGCGUACCUUUUGUAUAAUGGGUCAACGACUUACAUUCAGUAGCGAGCUUAACCGAAUAGGGGAGGCGUAGGGAAACCGAGUCUUAAUAGGGCGAACAGUUGCUGGGUGUAGACCCGAAACCGAGUGAUCUAUCCAUGGCCAGGUUGAAGGUGCCGUAACAGGUACUGGAGGACCGAACCCACGCAUGUUGCAAAAUGCGGGGAUGAGCUGUGGAUAGGGGUGAAAGGCUAAACAAACUCGGAGAUAGCUGGUUCUCCCCGAAAACUAUUUAGGUAGUGCCUCGAGCAAGACACUGAUGGGGGUAAAGCACUGUUAUGGCUAGGGGGUUAUUGCAACUUACCAACCCAUGGCAAACUAAGAAUACCAUCAAGUGGUUCCUCGGGAGACAGACAGCGGGUGCUAACGUCCGUUGUCAAGAGGGAAACAACCCAGACCGCCAGCUAAGGUCCCAAAUGAUAGAUUAAGUGGUAAACGAAGUGGGAAGGCCCAGACAGCCAGGAUGUUGGCUUAGAAGCAGCCAUCAUUUAAAGAAAGCGUAAUAGCUCACUGGUCGAGUCGUCCUGCGCGGAAGAUGUAACGGGGCUCAAAUCUAUAACCGAAGCUGCGGAUGCCAGUUUACUGGCAUGGUAGGGGAGCGUUCUGUAGGCCGAUGAAGGUGCAUUGUAAAGUGUGCUGGAGGUAUCAGAAGUGCGAAUGUUGACAUGAGUAGCGAUAAAGCGGGUGAAAAGCCCGCUCGCCGAAAGCCCAAGGUUUCCUACGCAACGUUCAUCGGCGUAGGGUGAGUCGGCCCCUAAGGCGAGGCAGAAAUGCGUAGUCGAUGGGAAACAGGUUAAUAUUCCUGUACUUGAUUCAAAUGCGAUGUGGGGACGGAGAAGGUUAGGUUAGCAAGCUGUUGGAAUAGCUUGUUUAAGCCGGUAGGUGGAAGACUUAGGCAAAUCCGGGUCUUCUUAACACCGAGAAGUGAUGACGAGUGUCUACGGACAUGAAGUAACCGAUACCACGCUUCCAGGAAAAGCCACUAAGCUUCAGUUUGAAUCGAACCGUACCGCAAACCGACACAGGUGGGCAGGAUGAGAAUUCUAAGGCGCUUGAGAGAACUCAGGAGAAGGAACUCGGCAAAUUGAUACCGUAACUUCGGGAGAAGGUAUGCCCUCUAAGGUCAAGGACUUGCUCCGUAAGCCCUGGAGGGUCGCAGAGAAUAGGUGGCUGCGACUGUUUAUUAAAAACACAGCACUCUGCUAACACGAAAGUGGACGUAUAGGGUGUGACGCCUGCCCGGUGCUGGAAGGUUAAUUGAAGAUGUGCAAGCAUCGGAUCGAAGCCCCAGUAAACGGCGGCCGUAACUAUAACGGUCCUAAGGUAGCGAAAUUCCUUGUCGGGU
RNAcentral lists this ribosomal RNA (1934 nucleotides) under human oral metagenome. Its description in RNAcentral is "bacterial LSU rRNA". It matches the Rfam family "Bacterial large subunit ribosomal RNA", at positions 3 to 1977 of the family's 2925-position model. The record is from RNAcentral.